Molecule: transfer RNA, 78 nt
Filed under: Veillonellaceae bacterium
Lineage: Bacteria; Bacillati; Bacillota; Negativicutes; Veillonellales; Veillonellaceae
Also listed under: 1 other name
Description: tRNA-Tyr
Source: RNAcentral
GCCGUAUUGUCAACCAAUUUUAUUAUGUUAUUCUUCGUAAUGAGAGGGUCGUAGGUUCAAAUCCUAUUAGUGGCUCCA